GUGAGUCAUCGAAUCUUUGAACGCACAUUGCGCCCCUUGGUUAUUCCGAAGGGCAUGCCUGUUCGAGCGUCAUUAUCACCCCUCAAGCCCUGGCUUGGUGUUGGACUUUAGUUAUAGCUUUGCCUAUCAACUGGUCUCAAAGAUAGUGACGGCGCCCCAGAGGGAACCGGGUACGAGGAGCUUUUUACCAAGCAUGUAUCUGGGACGACUCUGAUGGGCGACGGUCUUGUUAUACUUUUACCUAAGUGUUGACCUCGGAUCAGGUAGGAAUACCCGCUGAACUUAAGCAUAUCAAUAAGCGGAGGA
RNAcentral lists this unclassified non-coding RNA (306 nucleotides) under Ascomycota sp. Its description in RNAcentral is "partial contains 5.8S ribosomal RNA, internal transcribed spacer 2, and large subunit ribosomal RNA". The stretch from base 250 to 306 matches the Rfam family "Eukaryotic large subunit ribosomal RNA", at positions 1 to 57 of the family's 3401-position model. Lineage: Eukaryota; Fungi; Ascomycota. The record is from RNAcentral.